CCUACGGGAGGCAGCAGUAAGGAAUAUUGGUCAAUGGACGCAAGUCUGAACCAGCCAUGCCGCGUGGAGGAUGAAGGCCCUCUGGGUUGUAAACUUCUUUUAUCUGGGACGAAACCUCUUAUUCUUAAGAGACUGACGGUACCAGAGGAAUAAGCACCGGCUAACUCCGUGCCAGCAGCCGCGGUAAUACGGAGGGUGCAAGCGUUAUCCGGAUUCACUGGGUUUAAAGGGUGCGUAGGAGGGCAGGUAAGUCAGUGGUGAAAUCUCCGGGCUUAACUCGGAAACUGCCGUUGAUACUAUCUGUCUUGAAUACCGUGGAGGUGAGCGGAAUAUGUCAUGUAGCGGUGAAAUGCUUAGAUAUGACAUAGAACACCAAUUGCGAAGGCAGCUCACUACACGCAUAUUGACUCUGAGGCACGAAAGCGUGGGGAUCAAACAGG
Molecule: ribosomal RNA, 440 nt
Filed under: uncultured bacterium
Lineage: Bacteria
Description: bacterial SSU rRNA
Rfam family: Bacterial small subunit ribosomal RNA
Source: RNAcentral